This is a small nucleolar RNA of Salvator merianae (Argentine black and white tegu), 132 nucleotides long. NCBI's taxonomy places the organism in Eukaryota, Metazoa, Chordata, Lepidosauria, Squamata, Teiidae. The record is from Ensembl.
GCUGCCCCUCCAGGUGUUGCAGGCAUGGCUGCUGUGUGGUGCUUGUGUCAUGAGGAGGCAGAGAAGAACUGGCUGUGUCUACGCUCAGUGCCCAGUGUGUGGGCGCUUAGAAUGAUUAGCAGCCUAACAUUU